RNAcentral lists this ribosomal RNA (251 nucleotides) under uncultured prokaryote. RNAcentral's name for it is "partial 16S rRNA". It matches the Rfam family "Bacterial small subunit ribosomal RNA", at positions 525 to 775 of the family's 1533-position model. The record is from RNAcentral.
ACAGAGGGUGCAAGCGUUAAUCGGAAUUACUGGGCGUAAAGCGCACGUAGGUGGUUUGGUAAGUCGGAUGUGAAAGCCCCGGGCUCAACCUGGGAAUUGCAUUCGAUACUGCCUGGCUAGAGUAUGGUAGAGGGGGGUAGAAUUCCCGGUGUAGCGGUGAAAUGAGUAGAUAUUGAGAGGAAGACGAGAAGCGGAGGCGAUCCACAGGGCUGAGACUGACUCUGGGGUUUGAAAGCGGGGGAAGCAAACAG